GAUGAAGAACGUAGCGAAAUGCGAUAAGUAAUGUGAAUUGCAGAAUCCAGUGAAUCAUCGAAUCUUUGAACGCACAUUGCGCCCCCUGGUAUUCCGGGGGGCAUGCCUGUCCGAGCGUCAUUACAACCCUCAAGCUCAGCUUGGUGUUGGGCCCCGCCGCCCCGGCGGGCCCUAAAGUCAGUGGCGGUGCCGUCCGGCUCCGAGCGUAGUAAUUCUUCUCGCUCUGGAGGUCCGGUCGUGUGCUCGCCAGCAACCCCCAAUUUUUUUCAGGUUGACCUCGGAUCAGGUAGGGAUACCCGCUGAACUUAAGCAUAUCAAUAAGCGGAGGA
Molecule: unclassified non-coding RNA, 329 nt
Filed under: soil metagenome
Description: partial contains 5.8S ribosomal RNA, internal transcribed spacer 2, and large subunit ribosomal RNA
Rfam family: 5.8S ribosomal RNA (bases 1-120)
Source: RNAcentral